GUCGGCUAUGGAGAUAUGGCACCGAAGACCUACAUCGGAAUGUUCGUUGGAGCGCUCUGUGCUCUAGCCGGUGUGUUGACGAUCGCCCUGCCCGUGCCGGUCAUCGUGAGUAAC
Molecule: regulatory RNA element, 114 nt
Organism: Anopheles sinensis
Lineage: Eukaryota; Metazoa; Arthropoda; Insecta; Diptera; Culicidae
Rfam family: Potassium channel RNA editing signal
About the family: This family represents a group of sequences related to the human potassium channel Kv1.1 hairpin element which directs the efficient modification of an adenosine to inosine by an adenosine deaminase acting on RNA (ADAR). The ADAR modification causes an isoleucine/valine recoding event which lies in the ion-conducting pore of the potassium channel. It is thought that this editing event targets the process of fast inactivation and allows a more rapid recovery from inactivation at negative potentials.
Source: Rfam